Molecule: unclassified non-coding RNA, 208 nt
Filed under: Glomeraceae sp.
Lineage: Eukaryota; Fungi; Glomeromycota; Glomeromycetes; Glomerales; Glomeraceae
Description: partial contains 5.8S ribosomal RNA and internal transcribed spacer 2
Rfam family: 5.8S ribosomal RNA (bases 1-71)
Source: RNAcentral
GUGAAUCAUCGAAUUUUUGAACGCAAAUUGCACUCUCUGGUAUUCCGGAGAGUAUGCCUGUUUGAGGGUCAGUUUAAAUAAAAAUCGGUGUGGUUGCUGCCUUUCGUGGUGACGCACCGGAUGUGGUUGGUUUUGCUUUAGGUUAAUGGACUGAAAAUUUUGAAGGAUUUUUCCGACCGAAUUUAAAUAAUUUUAGUAAGGUUUGGAA